RNAcentral lists this ribosomal RNA (834 nucleotides) under Triticum aestivum (bread wheat). RNAcentral describes it as "partial small subunit ribosomal RNA". Lineage: Eukaryota; Viridiplantae; Streptophyta; Magnoliopsida; Poales; Poaceae. The record is from RNAcentral.
AUGUUCUACAGUGCUUUGAAAAGAGGUGUGGCUACUUGGUGGAGGAUGUACCAAACCAUCAAUGGAUGGCAAAGAGUAACCACUUGGGAAGAAUUUAAGUUGACUUUGCAAAUGUCUCGGUUUGUGCCCCAGAAAUUGAAGCCUUCGGGAAAGGAUAUGAAGAAAUCUUGUGCAUGCAAGCUCUGUGGAGAAAUAGGACACACCCAUAAGGAACAUAAGGAUGAAUGCCCUAAUUGUGAAGGAAGUCACCCAGCUGAAGAAUGCCCAACUAGGCAGAUUACUUGUUUCUUGUGUGAAGGGACUACCCACUACCCUGCUCAGUGUCACAUUUACCCUAUGGUACAGAGAACCAUCCAGCAGAAGAAAGAAGAAAUGAAAGGAGCCCUCAUGGAGAUGUUAGAAGAACCUGCAACGAAGGAAGAUGUCGAGGACACACACAAAGGAAACAAAAUUAAAGCCCGCACCAAGUCAUGCUAUUCAUGUGGAGAAGAAGGACACAUCUCCCAAGAUUGUCUGAAUGGAGAUCUAGUAGAAUUCCCGAUAGAGGAAGUAGAGUACGACCCACAGGAAAUAGAAGCCCUGAUUGGAACGGAAAAGUCUAGGAAGAGGAAUAGAUUGGAUUCCAGGAAGGACCUGAGUCAUGUCACCUGUUACAAAUGCAAGGAGUCAGGGCACUACAUCAACACUUGCCCAAAAAGGAAGCCAAGGACCCAAGGAGGCUAUAUAAUCACAAGGAAACCUCGAAACUUGUCAGAAGUAAUAUGUUUCCGUUGUAAUGUAGCUGGGCACUUUGCCAGAGAUUGUCCGAAGGAGAAGGAGACUGGUGAUAAAUAG